UGCUUGGACUUUGCUUCCCUCCUGUAUAUUGUGGAGAAACAGAAGUAGAAGUUUCUUUAGAAGACUGACAGGUGUCACACCCAAGGCAAUAUCAGAUCUUUACAUUUCCUGGACUUGGAUUUCAGGAUCAGGGACAAACU
This is a non-coding RNA of Erinaceus europaeus (western European hedgehog), 140 nucleotides long. NCBI's taxonomy places the organism in Eukaryota, Metazoa, Chordata, Mammalia, Eulipotyphla, Erinaceidae. The record is from Rfam.